Molecule: ribosomal RNA, 425 nt
Filed under: uncultured bacterium
Lineage: Bacteria
Description: bacterial SSU rRNA
Rfam family: Bacterial small subunit ribosomal RNA
Source: RNAcentral
GGGGAAUAUUGGACAAUGGGCGAAAGCCUGAUCCAGCCAUGCCGCGUGUGUGAAGAAGGUCUUCGGAUUGUAAAGCACUUUAAGUUGGGAGGAAGGGUAGUAACCUAAUACGUUGCUACUUUGACGUUACCGACAGAAUAAGCACCGGCUAACUUCGUGCCAGCAGCCGCGGUAAUACGAAGGGUGCAAGCGUUAAUCGGAAUUACUGGGCGUAAAGCGCGCGUAGGUGGUUCAGUAAGUUGGAAGUGAAAUCCCCGGGCUCAACCUGGGAACUGCUUUCAAAACUGCUGAGCUAGAGUACGGUAGAGGGUGGUGGAAUUUCCUGUGUAGCGGUGAAAUGCGUAGAUAUAGGAAGGAACACCAGUGGCGAAGGCGACCACCUGGACUGAUACUGACACUGAGGUGCGAAAGCGUGGGGAGCAAAC